CCUACGGGACGCAGCAGUGGGGAAUAUUGCACAAUGGGGGAAACCCUGAUGCAGCAACGCCGCGUGAAGGAAGACGGUUUUCGGAUUGUAAACUUCUAUCAAUAGGGAAGAAAGAAAUGACGGUACCUAAAUAAGAAGCCCCGGCUAACUACGUGCCAGCAGCCGCGGUAAUACGUAGGUGGCAAGCGUUGUCCGGAAUUACUGGGUGUAAAGGGAGCGCAGGCGGGAAGCCAAGUCAGCUGUGAAAACUACGGGCUUAACUUGUAGACUGCAGUUGAAACUGGUUUUCUUGAGUGAAGUAGAGG
RNAcentral lists this ribosomal RNA (305 nucleotides) under uncultured bacterium. RNAcentral describes it as "bacterial SSU rRNA". It matches the Rfam family "Bacterial small subunit ribosomal RNA", at positions 338 to 657 of the family's 1533-position model. The record is from RNAcentral.